GUCGAACGAGAAUCUGUGGAAAGAGGAUUCGUCCAAUUGAAGCAGAGGACAGUGGCGGACGGGUGAGUAACGCGUGAGGAACCUGCCUUUCAGAGGGGGACAACAGUUGGAAACGACUGCUAAUACCGCAUGACACAUAGGUGUCGCAUGGCACUUAUGUCAAAGAUUUAUCGCUGAAAGAUGGCCUCGCGUCUGAUUAGCUAGUUGGUGAGGUAACGGCCCACCAAGGCGACGAUCAGUAGCCGGACUGAGAGGUUGAACGGCCACAUUGGGACUGAGAUACGGCCCAGACUCCUACGGGAGGCAGCAGUGGGGAAUAUUGGGCAAUGGGCGCAAGCCUGACCCAGCAACGCCGCGUGAAGGAAGAAGGCUUUCGGGUUGUAAACUUCUUUUGUCAGGGACGAGUAGAAGACGGUACCUGACGAAUAAGCCACGGCUAACUACGUGCCAGCAGCCGCGGUAAUACGUAGGUGGCAAGCGUUGUCCGGAUUUACUGGGUGUAAAGGGCGUGUAGCCGGGAGGGCAAGUCAGAUGUGAAAUCCACGGGCUCAACUCGUGAACUGCAUUUGAAACUACUCUUCUUGAGUAUCGGAGAGGCAAUCGGAAUUCCUAGUGUAGCGGUGAAAUGCGUAGAUAUUAGGAGGAACACCAGUGGCGAAGGCGGAUUGCUGGACGACAACUG
RNAcentral lists this ribosomal RNA (682 nucleotides) under uncultured Lachnospiraceae bacterium. RNAcentral's name for it is "bacterial SSU rRNA". It matches the Rfam family "Bacterial small subunit ribosomal RNA", at positions 61 to 742 of the family's 1533-position model. The record is from RNAcentral. Lineage: Bacteria; Bacillati; Bacillota; Clostridia; Lachnospirales; Lachnospiraceae.